AGAGUUUGAUCCUGGCUCCCGAUUAACGCUGGCGGCGUGCCUAAUACAUGCAAGUCGAACGGAGAACUUCUGGUAAUUUAUUACUGGAUGUUUCUUAGUGGCGAACGGGUGAGUAACGCGUUGGUGACCUGCCUCGAAGCGUGGGAUAACUCCGGGAAACCGGAGCUAAUACCACAUGUGGACACGGUUUUUAGAAAACCGUGUCUAAAGGACCUCGGUUCACUUCGAGAGGGACCUGCGUCCCAUCAGCUAGUUGGUAGGGUAAUGGCCUACCAAGGCUAAGACGGGUAGGGGACCUGAGAGGGUGGCCCCCCACAAUGGUACUGAAACACGGACCAUACAUCUACGGAUGGCAGCAGUAGGGAAUAUUGCACAAUGGACGAAAGUCUGAUGCAGCAACGCCGCGUGUGCGAUGAAGGUCUUCGGACUGUAAAGCACUUUUCUGAGGGAAGAGGAAGGACGGUACCUCAGGAAUAAGUCUCGGCUAACUACGUGCCAGCAGCCGCGGUAACACGUAGGAGGCAAGCGUUAUCCGGAUUUACUGGGCGUAAAGCGCGUGCAGGCGGUUUGGUAAGUUGGAUGUGAAAGCUCCUGGCUCAACUGGGAGAGGUCGUUCAAUACUGCCAGACUAGAGGACGGUAGAGGAAGGUAGAAUUCCUGGUGUAGUGGUGAAAUGCGUAGAUAUCAGGAGGAAUACCAGUGGCGAAGGCGGCCUUCUGGGCCGUUCCUGACGCUAAGACGCGAGAGCAUGGGUAGCAAACGGGAUUAGAAACCCCGGUAGUCCAUGCCGUAAACGAUGCAAACUUGGUGUUGGUGGUGUAAAAGCUAUCAGUGCCGCAGCUAACGCGAUAAGUUUGCCGCCUGGGGAUUACGACCGCAAGGUUAAAACUCAAAGGAAUUGACGGGUUCCCGCACAAGCAGCGGAGCGUGUGGUUUAAUUCGAUGCUACGCGAAGAACCUUACCUGGGCUUGACAUGUUGGUUGUAGGGAGCCGAAAGGUGACCGACCCUUCGGGGAGCCAUCACAGGUGCUGCAUGGCUGUCGUCAGCUCGUGUCGUGAGAUGUCCGGUUAAGUCCGGUAACGAGCGCAACCCUUGCCGUAUGUUACAUGUGUCAUACGGGACUGCCGGUAUAAAGCCGGGGGAAGGCGGGGAUGACGUCAAGUCAGCAUGGCCUUUAUGUCCAGGGCUACACACACGCUACAAUGGUCGGUACAAUAGGUCGC
Molecule: ribosomal RNA, 1225 nt
Filed under: metagenome
Description: bacterial SSU rRNA
Rfam family: Bacterial small subunit ribosomal RNA
Source: RNAcentral